GUCUCUGCCCUCCCAGCUCGCUCUGGAGCCCUGGAGCACGCGAUUCACCUCCUGCUCCUCACAAGACUGGGUGGCCCCUGACAGUGAAUGGCUCUUACGCCUGACAUCUAUGUUUGUUUUAUUACAAGCGCUCUUCUUCUGAACACACGGCUUGAUUGCAUUGUUUGAGAUUGCUAAGCCUUCAAGCACUUUCAGAACGGAAUCCUCCCUGGGGACAGCUCGGUGCCCUCUGGGUCCCGUUUCCUGGAUCCUGUUCUGAGCCGGGCAGCUGGUAGCCCUGUUCGUGUGCGUUAAGGCUCGGUUCCCCAGCACAAUCAUUCAGGAUUGAAACGAUAGCAUAAUGGAACUUAGAGAGGAUCAUCUAAUCCCACGCUCACCUUACAGAUGAGGAAGCCAGGGGUCGCGGGUCUUUGUGGACUCAGUGGGAACUGAGAACAAUUCCAUCCGUACGACGUCCAGAUGAACCUUGCUGGUCGGAGAGGAAACUUCUGACCACCCCGAGCUGAGCUUUGUGUUCCUCAGGCCCCGAAACACAUUCUAGGAGAACAUCUGGAUGACUUUCUGUAUGGCAAUGACUUUUUAGAUAUAACACGAAAGGCACAAUUGAUGAAAUAAGUAAUUGAUAAGCCAGACAUCAAUAAAAUUAAAUAUAUCUGCUCUACAAAAGACAAGAUCAGGAGAAUGGGAAGGCAAGCCACAGACUGGAAGAAAAUACUUGCAAAUAUACAUCUAAUAAAGUACGGCUGCCCGCAGAACUCUUAAAUCUCAACAAUGAGAAAAGAAACAACCCAAUGAAAAAAAUGGGCAAAAGGCCUGGACAGACAACUCACCAAAGAAUACACACCAUUGGCAAAUGGAGAGUCUCCCUCGUUUAACAUGGCCCCACCUUUCUUGGGGGUCCUAAACCCCAACUCAAGAGCACCAGAAACCCACCAGCAGCUCUUCUUUGCUUUCUCACUACUUUUUGCCUUCUGCUCAUGGAGUGCUUUGAGGUGAAACCUGGUGCUGAGAUGUGGGCUCUGAUCUUUGAGCCUCCCCUCUCUUCAGGAUCUUGGCCUUUCAAAUCCUGGAUGCACUGUCAGGCCCAGACUCCAAUUCUUAUCUCUCCAGCUUCACAGUAUUGCAGGAAGCUCUGCUGUUUCCCCCUGCUUCUCAACAGCGGCACUCUUUCCUCUUCCUUACCUUCAACCCAGCCACAAAUCGGCAAGAGCCCAGAGAUAGAAAGUGAUGUGCAGAGAGAGUGCCCACUUCAGGAAGCACAAUUCUCACUAGGACUGGGCCUCGAACCACUGGCUGCUCUCACAGCUCUCUUGUGUAUCAUCUGUCUGUCUGUGUAUCCUGUCUAUCUAUCUAUCACCUAUUGAUCUA
RNAcentral lists this long non-coding RNA (1368 nucleotides) under Homo sapiens (human). Its description in RNAcentral is "HSALNT0344640". The record is from RNAcentral. Lineage: Eukaryota; Metazoa; Chordata; Mammalia; Primates; Hominidae.